Molecule: ribosomal RNA, 554 nt
Filed under: uncultured bacterium
Lineage: Bacteria
Description: bacterial SSU rRNA
Rfam family: Bacterial small subunit ribosomal RNA
Source: RNAcentral
ACUCCUACGGGAGGCAGCAGUGGGGAAUAUUGGACAAUGGGGGCAACCCUGAUCCAGCAAUGCCGCGUGUGUGAAGAAGGCCUUCGGGUUGUAAAGCACUUUUAUCGGGGACGAAAUCCGGAAGGUUAAUACCCGUCCGGGAUGACGGUACCCGAGGAAUAAGCACCGGCUAACUUCGUGCCAGCAGCCGCGGUAAUACGAAGGGUGCAAGCGUUAAUCGGAAUUACUGGGCGUAAAGGGUGCGUAGGCGGUUUGUUAAGUUCGAUGUGAAAGCCCUGGGCUCAACCUGGGAAUGGCAUCGAAGACUGGCAGACUGGAGUGCGGUAGAGGAUGGUGGAAUUCCCGGUGUAGCGGUGAAAUGCGUAGAGAUCGGGAGGAACACCAGUGGCGAAGGCGGCCAUCUGGACCAGCACUGACGCUGAGGCACGAAAGCGUGGGGAGCAAACAGGAUUAGAUACCCUGGUAGUCCACGCCCUAAACGAUGCGAACUGGAUGUUGUGGGCAACUAGGCCCUCAGUAUCGAAGCUAACGCGUUAAGUUCGCCGCCUGGGGAG